GCCAACAAAACAUAUAACUGUGAAAAUUUAGGUCUCAGUGAAAUUCCUGACACCCUACCAAACACAACAGAAUUUUUGGAAUUCAGCUUUAAUUUCUUGCCUACAAUUCAAAAUACAACUUUCAGCAGACUCAUAGAUCUUACUUUUUUGGAUUUAACCAGGUAUGUAUCUGAGUUCCUGUGUACUCUUGAUGUUUUACUUAAGAAGAAACAAAAUUUGCAUUUGAAUUGUCCCCAGGAUCUUCUUUUGGGGCACAGGGACACUCUGCUUAUUCUGUAUUUUCAUUUACUCCUUCAUCUGAAAUACUUUAAUGCAAGUGAAGUGUAAUUUAAAUAAACAACAAUCAAUGGACAGGAAAGUGAGUUGUUUUCAAACUAGCUGCAUCAGCAGUACCAUUGAAGAAUUUCUAAGGAAUAUUAAAAAAAAGUGAAAAUAAAUUCUGCACUGAAUCAGACACCAUAUUAUACUAUAUUUUAACACAGUUGACUACUAUUAGGUGAAUCGCAUGUAACAAAAGUUAUGAGAAACACACAUACCUACUAAUUCUUUUUUUUUUUUAAAUUGAAAAAAGAGUUCCAUUAUUUGGCUUUAGAGGCAGAAUCAGGAUUCCAUAUCCUGAACAAAUGUUUGAGAACCAGUGGACAAAAGUAUUACAAGAAAGUAUGGGAGGAAAACAGAAGGGAUGUGCAGCUUGUGUGUGUGUGUGUGUGUGUGUGUGGAGUGGGGGAAGGGACCCCACAUGUUCAUGACUUCUGUACCUCUUGCAGUAGUUCAAUGACUUCCACUUGUGUCUUUCCACUUGAGUUUCUGCAAAGUGGAAGAAAGCACACACCCAUAGCACUGUUUCAUCUUUACAAUCACCUCUGUGGGGUGCCAAUUAAUAUUACCACCCAUUUCUGCAGUUAGAUGCAGAAACUAUCAGUGUGUGUGUGUGUGUGUGUGUGUGUGUGUAAGUGUGUGUGUUUAAUCCAGUACUUUAAGAUGCAGUACCAGGAUGGAUUUCUCUUAACUUCUAGCAUUCUGUAGUUCAAUGGAGCAUUUUUACAUACAUCAUUUGACAUACAAUAAUUCUACAAAAUAGUCAUUAUUUUUGUAUUUCAUAGAUGAAAGAGGAAGGCUGAGUGUGGCAUGUAGCACAUGCCUAGCAUGUGUAAGGGCAUACGCUCAAUCCCCAGCAACUCUUUCUUCCCCCCAAAUAGGCUUUAACUUGCCAAGGAUGCCAAGGAUAAAUACAUACCAUGUAUUAUCUAUUAUACAUUACAUAUGGCAUAUUUUAUAUUACUUAAUAUAAUAAAUCACAGUUUGGUUUUGCCUACAAAAAAAAUCAAACCACUAAUUGUUCCUUAGAAUACAAAUAUAAACCUCUGAGUGUUCUAUCUAAAUAGGAAAGACAGACAUCUGGAAUAAAUUCCAAAUCAGAGCUUUCAGUACUAGGGCUAUUCAUUAAUUAUCUUGACAGACCAUCUGUGGGUAUGGAAGAAAGUUUUUUGUGUUGGAUAACAUAUAGUGUUUUAUGGUAUACAAAAGAUGGCUUUGGGAAUGUGGUGACAGCAUUUUCCCUUUUUUUUUCUAAUUAAUCAUUGUUAAAUACAAUUAUCUUUUCAAGGUGCCAGAUUAACUGGAUACAUGAUGACACUUUUCAAAGCCAUCAUCAGUUGAGCACACUGAUAUUAACUGGAAACCCUCUGAUAUUUAUGGCAGAAACAGCAUUUAACGGGCCCAAGUCGCUGAAGCAUUUGUUCUUAAUUCAAACAGGAAUAUCCAGUCUUGAGUUUAUCCCACCUCACAAUCUGGAAAACUUGGAAAGUUUGCAUCUGGGGAGCAACCAUAUUUCUUCCAUUAAGCUCCCAAAUGAUUUCCCAGCAGGGAAUCUGAAAGUCCUGGAUUUUCAGAAUAAUGCUAUACACUACCUUUCUAGAGAAGAUAUGAACUCUCUGAAGCAGGCCACCAACCUAAGUCUUAACUUCAAUAGCAAUGACAUUAAAGGUAUUGAGCCUGGGGCUUUCAGUUCACAAUUCUUCCAAAGCUUGAACUUUGGAGGGACUCGUGACUUGUCUGUCAUAUUCAGUGGUCUACGGAACUCUACUAUUCAAUCUCUCUGGUUGGGGACAUUUGAGGACAUUGAUAACCAAUAUCUAAGUUCAGCCACAUUUCAGGGUCUUUGUGACACAUCUGUUGAGAGCAUCAACCUGCAAAAGCAUCAUUUCUCUGACUUCUCCUCCACCACGUUUCGAUGCUUUGCCCAACUCCAGAAUCUGGAUCUAACGGCCACUCACCUGCAAGAAUUACCCUCUGGGAUUGAGGGUAUGAACUCACUCAAGAAAUUAGUUCUCAAUGUAAAUAAAUUUGACCAAUUGUGUCAAAUCAAUGCUGCCAAUUUCCCCUCCCUUACACACCUCUAUAUCAAAGGCAACAUGAAGAAGCUUCACCUCGGUACUGGCUGUUUAGAAAAACUAGAGAAUCUUCAGAAACUUGAUUUAAGCCAUAGCGGCAUAGAAGCUUCUGAUUGCUGCAAUCUGCAGCUCAAAAAUCUUCCCCACUUGCAAAGUCUAAACCUGAGCUACAAUGAGCUCAUUGGUUUUCAGAGGGAGGCGUUCCAAGCAUGUCCUCAGCUAGAGAUCUUGGAUUUGUCAUUUACCCACUUACAUGUGAGUGCACCACAAAGUCCUUUCCAAAACCUUCAUCACCUGAAGAUUCUGAAUCUCUCUCAUAGCUUCCUUGAUACCAGCAAUCAGCUUCUUCUAGCAGGCCUGCCAGACCUUCGGCAUCUGAACUUGCAGGGGAAUCGUUUUCAAGAUGGGAGUAUCCCGAAGAACAACCUACUUCAGACAGUGGGAAGCUUGGAGAUUCUGGUUUUAUCCUCCAGUGACCUCUUGUCCAUAGACCAGCAGGCUUUCCACAGCCUUGAUAAAAUGAGUCACGUAGACUUAAGUCACAAUAAUCUGACAUCAAAUAGCAUUGAUGCUCUUAGCCAUCUUAAGGGGAUCUACCUCAAUUUGGCGGCUAAUGCCAUUGGCAUUAUCUCACCCCAUCUCCUCUCCAUCUUGUCCCAGCAGAGCACUAUUAAUUUAAGUCACAAUCCCCUGGACUGCACGUGCUCAAAUAUUCACUUUUUAACAUGGUACAAAGAAAACCUGCAAAAACUUGAGGACUUGGAGGAGACUGUGUGUGCAAAUCCCCCAUCACUAAAGGGAGUUCAACUGUCUGAUGUCCGGCUGUCCUGUGGAAUUACCCCCGUGGGAAUUUUAUUUCUAACAGUAUUUUUCCUCUUGGUCUCCAUUCUACUCAUUUUCGCAAUUAAAUUCUUUCUCAGGUGGAAAUACCAACACAUUUAGUGCUGAAGGCUUCUAGAGAAGGCAAAUAGAACGUGUUUGGCACAACUGCCUUAACUGGAGAAAUAGUUGGAUGUGGAUAACCAGACUCUUCAGACCAGCUCCUGGUGUUGGGCUGGGAUUGACUGUGCUUUUUAAGUUUUUUACUUUUUACUUUUAUUUUGUUUUGUUUUGUUUUUGUUUUGUUUGUUUGUUUGUUUGUUUUGUUUUGUUUUUUUGAGCUUCUUACCCUGAUGAGUCCUUCCUGGCAGGUAAACUGACUGGGGCCAGAGGACCCUGCUAUGGGAGGUACCUUACCAUUUAUUUCCUCACAUGGAAGAUGACUGAAGUUGGGGAGGGAGCCUUGGCAAUGCCACCUGCCUUCCACUCACUGAGAGACCUCACAGAACCUCAUCCCUGGAAGGAGAUCACCAUCCCCAUAACUUGACAAUGCUGAGGCCAACCCUAUCCACUUGUACUUUCUCCCAUAUCUAAGUCAUUAUGCUUGAGUCAAAAUUCUCAAUAAUGUAGCCAUUUGGAAAACUUAGUCCAGGGAAAAGUCUCAUUGAAUAUUUUAAAUGAGAAAAAGAAUAAUGCAACCUGGGCAUGGUGAUGCACACAUGUAAUCCCAGUGGCCUGGGAGGCUGAGACAGGAGGAUGGUAAGUUUGAGUCCAGGCUCAGCAACUAAGCAAGACCCUGUCUCAAAAUAAGAAACAAAAAGGGCUGAGGAUGUUAAGUGGUUAAGUGCCCCAGGGUUCAAUCUCUGGUAUCAAAAAAUGAAACAAACUAAAACAAAAAAAGAAUUUAAAAGACUGAGAAAUGAAUUGUGCUUUCAAAUAGACUCCAUUAAUCUACUAGGUCCUUAGGUUUCUAGGUCUUGAUAAUGCCUCUGGAAUGAAAAUAACUACAAAAAAAAAAAAAAACAAACAAAACAAGCAAACAAAAACCAUUCCUUUACCCCUUAAUCCCUGAAGUCUAGGAUUUUAUUCACCUCCAUCCUUCACACCUUCACUGCCUGUCUGGUGUUCUGGCUUUUAUGUGGUAGAUCUCACUUAGUAAUGGGCUUCGGUCCAAAAUGCUCUUCUUGUCUAGGUGUCUAGUCCUCAGAAGCCUCUUUCCCAUGGAAUGGUGAGAUAAAUGGUGACUGGUUCCCAGACUGGUCCUCAAACAUCUAUUUAUCUCAGAGAGCUGCUUACAAUGAAAACUAGUGGAAGAAGCCAUCCCUACACACUAGCUGUUAGGAACACAGUAAAGCUGGCUUCAUGAUAGUUUCUGUUGAGGCUGAGGGUGUCAGUGAAGGUCAUGCCAGCAAUAGACACGGGACAGAGUCAUUGAGUACAAAUAGACAAAGAGGAUGAAGAAGCUGGCAGUGUCAACACUGAGACCUUCCCCAGGCCCAGUGAGUCCCAUUUAACUGGGCCUUGCCCUUCUGAGGCUGGAUUAUUGGACAAGCUUACUGGAGCUCUUGUACUCAGCUGCUGCAUUUAUAGCCCACUUCUUCCUCCUCCAUAUCCAUGGAUUCAAGCAACUGCAGAGGGACAAUGUUUGAAAAAAAAAAAAAAACCUCCAAGUGUACAGAAUAUGCACAGAAAAUUUUCAUGUCAUUGUUCCCUAAGCAAUAUAGCACAACAAUUGUUUACAUAGUACUAAUAUUGUUUGGGAUAUUUAUAAGUAAUGUAGAGAUUAUUUAAAGUGUAUGGGAAGAUGCGUGUAGGUUAUCUGAAAAUACUGUGCCAUUUUAUAUAAGGAACUCGAGUAUCUGGGAAUUCUGGAAUCUGUGAGAGGUCCUGGAACCAAUUCUCUAUAGAAACCAAAGGGUGACUACAUAAGGGCUCGAUUAAGUUCUACUAUCAAUUUUUAGGUCAAAGAGAGUAUCAUUCUGAAAUUCUGCUUGGAUAUCAAAGUAAAAGUUGAUCAAUUUUAAUAUCCAAUCUGAAAUUUUUUGCCCUUAGACUAAAGGCAUAAUAGUGGACAUGAUCAUGGAAUGUGGGAAUUCAUCCUCUUUGCCUCUUCUUCAUUCCCUGGAAAAGCUGGACAGGAAGGGAACAGCAAUGGAAGAACCUCUUGGGGGCUCAGGAAUUACAGGCUUUCUUGCUUGUUCCUUUUUGCCUGGAAGAUGCUGCGGGCAUCUCCCGAUGACUGGUUCCCUCCCAUCCCUGAGAUCUCAGUGCUGGUAUCCACUCCUCUGAGGGAGCUCUUCCUUGACCUGGCCAGUCCAAACCAAAUUAGGCCACACCCAAUGCUCUCACUAGCACCUCCAUCAUCUUUAUUGUUAAUCAGCUAUAGGAUUAUCCUCCUCAUUUUGUUUUAAUUUGUCUAGCUUGUCUUUUUUACCCCCAAAUGUAAGCUGCACAUGAGGGUCUUUACCCAAUGGUGUCCUACAAGUGCCUGGGACAAAAUAAGGACUCGAUAUAUUUUCAGUAAUUGCUGACAUUUGCUGGCCUUCUGACCCCUAAACCCUUAUCAGCACCUACUUCCAUCCCCAUGACCAGACAUACCAACCUUUAGCUUCAGUUGACAUCUCCAAUAUUUCCUAUGCCUCCCACAUAUUUCUCACCAGAAUAACCUAGGGCAACCUAGGAUAAGAAGUGGAUUCUUGUGCCUUGCCUCCAGAUGUUGAGAUUCUGUCAGACUAAGAUUAGCCCUGGAUUCCCAGCCAAAUGACUGACUCCAGUAAAAUCCAUUUUUAUUCUUAAUGAUACAUGUAUCCCUCUUACUUCUCUCAUCUUGUGAUAUUUGACUUCAAAUGCAUUUCUCCCACGGAAGAUCCAUAUUCUAAGAAUUUGGUCUUAGACAACACCAACCCAUUAGUUUCCUAGGUAUUCUGUCAAUGUGAUCUCCUUCCUGUCCUAGGGCUUUAAGCUGCAGAUGGGAAAUAUUAAUUGUUGACCUACCACCCCUUAGCCAUACUCUUCACUAUAAUAUUUAAUGGGUAACUUGAAAAAACAAAACUAUUCUGUAGAAAAAACUCUGAUGCAGGUUGCAUUACAUUAAAGGUAGCAAAGUUUCACAUGUUAGAAAGGCAUAAUUGUUCAUCCUGCUUUCAUUGAUCACCAUGCUCCCUCCCAUAUGAUACAACUAGCUGCUCCAUAACUGCACACUGAUCUAAGGCUUUGUGACAGUUCCUCUGUUUCAAGCAACAGUAAAUUCACCUCCAAAAAGUCAGAAAGGGAGUUUUUUGAUGGCUGCUGUCAAUUUUAUUGCUUUAUCUGGUUACUAGGAUAGAAUCUGUAGACAUAGUGUGUUUAUUGGUUUUAUGUAUUGUGUGUUGUUGCUGCUCUGACAAGCUACUCCUAUAAAAAUGUGUUAUUAUUGCAUGAUGUAGCUCAGUGAGCUGACCCUGCAUUUCAAAGUGUACUGAAGCAAAUAGCAUUGAAGUCCAUAAAAGCUGACUGGCCUCCAUCACAGAGGAUUCUCUGCGUGAGCUGCAACUCCUACAAUCUGAGGAAGAAUUAUACCUUUCCCUGUGCCAGCAGCCACUGCUAUUAACUGAGCACAGCACAACCUCAAACACAGGCAUUAUCUGAAAAUUUUCAAAACAGGAAACUCUUAAGUCAUUCUUACUUGUCCAACUCUCUGAUAAACGUUGAUUGCAAUUUUGAAAUUUACAAAAGUAUACAACUGGCUUUUUAAUGUUUUCUUUUGUUAGUAUAGAAUACAAGAGGGGUAACUGACAAUGUUUUCUUUCUGCUCAGAAUGUUGAAGAGCUUUGCUGUUUAAUCUUUCAUGAGCAGUAACAGCUUUUAAAUACAAUCUGUAUUUAAUUAAUUCUUUCUUUUUAAAAUCUUAUCAGAUCAAUAACUGAUUUCAAAACAUUAGCUGGUUAGCUCUAAGCAGAAAAGACUGGGGAGUCAAUGGCCUGAUGUGUUAAGAAUCUGAAUUCUAGGCCAGGUGUGAUAGCACACACCUAUAACCCCAGUUGUUCAGGAGGCUGAGGCCAGAGGAUCACAAGUCCAAGGCCAAUCUGGGUAACUUAAUGAGACCCUGUCUUAAAAUAAAAUAAAAGAGCCUUGAGGUUUAGCUCAAUGGUAGAACACUUUCCUACUAUGCCCAAGGCCUUGGAUUCAAUCCCCAGAAUGGGGAGGGGAAAAAGAGCACAAUUUGCCCAACAUAGCAGGAGGUAGCCUGCAGGCCAUAGGGAGAUGGAUUAGCUCAGUGUGGCUCCCAAGCCCAACUGAUUAUCAGAAUGACCUGG
Molecule: long non-coding RNA, 7507 nt
Filed under: Marmota monax (woodchuck)
Lineage: Eukaryota; Metazoa; Chordata; Mammalia; Rodentia; Sciuridae
Source: RNAcentral